ACGGGGCCCGCACAAGCGGUGGAGCAUGUGGUUUAAUUCGAUGCAACGCGAAGAACCUUACCUGGGCUUGACAUCCCAAGAAUCCCCUGGAAACAGGGGAGUGCCCUUCGGGAGCUUGGAGACAGGUGCUGCAUGGGCUGUCGUCAGCUCGUGUCGUGAGAUGUUGGGUUAAGUCCCGCAACGAGCGCAACCCUUGCCUUUAGUUGCCAUCAUUCAGUUGGGCACUCUAGAGGGACUGCCGGUGUCAAACCGGAGGAAGGUGGGAUGACGUCAAGUCCUCAUGGCCUUUAUGCCCAGGGCUACACACGCGCUACAAUGGGCGGUACAAAGAGCAGCGAGCUCGCGAGAGUAAGCAAAUCUCAAAAAGCCGUCCUCAGUUCGGAUUGGAGUCUGCAACUCGACUCCAUGAAGUUGGAAUCGCUAGUAAUCGCGGAUCAGCAUGCCGCGGUGAAUACGUUCCCGGGCCUU
RNAcentral lists this ribosomal RNA (468 nucleotides) under uncultured Syntrophaceae bacterium. RNAcentral's name for it is "bacterial SSU rRNA". It matches the Rfam family "Bacterial small subunit ribosomal RNA", at positions 916 to 1381 of the family's 1533-position model. Lineage: Bacteria; Pseudomonadati; Thermodesulfobacteriota; Syntrophia; Syntrophales; Syntrophaceae. The record is from RNAcentral.